UACGUAGGGUCCGAGCGUUGUCCGGAAUUACUGGGCGUAAAGAGCUCGUAGGUGGUUUGUCGCGUUGUUCGUGAAAACUCACAGCUCAACUGUGGGCGUGCGGGCGAUACGGGCAGACUGGAGUACUGCAGGGGAGACUGGAAUUCCUGGUGUAGCGGUGAAAUGCGCAGAUAUCGGGAGGAACACCGGUGGCGAAGGCGGCUCUCUAGUACGGUACUGACGCUGAGACGCGAAAGCGUGGGGAGCGAACAGG
RNAcentral lists this ribosomal RNA (253 nucleotides) under uncultured bacterium. Its description in RNAcentral is "partial 16S ribosomal RNA". It matches the Rfam family "Bacterial small subunit ribosomal RNA", at positions 524 to 776 of the family's 1533-position model. The record is from RNAcentral.